Long non-coding RNA from Bacillus rossius redtenbacheri, 1420 nucleotides. RefSeq lists it as uncharacterized. Lineage: Eukaryota; Metazoa; Arthropoda; Insecta; Phasmatodea; Bacillidae. The record is from RefSeq and is a predicted model, not a curated record. The transcript has 2 exons.
GAUGUAGACCACGGGAAGCCUACAACUCACGUAGUUUCGGUUCCCUGCAAGAAUUUCCGAAGAUUUCCGAAGUUUUGCGUUUUGGUAUUAACGCCACUUCAGCCGCUAAAUCAGAAGUUUCCAAUGAAAACAAGCAUGUUGUGACUGCCGGCGUCCUGGUCUCCAGUCCCGUGCGAGCCACCUUCGAGGCUAGACGCGGCCGCAAGACGCUCCAUAAACUCGCCGCUAUUAUCGCUUUUGGGUUCUGUUCUAUAGUGUGUUAUAAUCUCUUUUAUCGUUUUCUUUACCGUGUGCGUGAGUGUUGUUUUGUAUCCGGCGUGUCCGCGGGCCAAAACACGUGGACUAACACUAGCCUGCACCGCACAUUUCUCCAGCGCGCGAGACGUCCCUCGGCAGCUGCACGGGCCGGACGGUCCACCCCUGCCUCCCCGCAGGAGGCUGCUCUACGCGAGAGAACUGGCGCCGGGCAAUACAAGAAAACGGCCGAGAGACAUCCGCCACGUCUCCACGUAUUCUACGAAGACGGGUGCCCGCCGGCAGGGUGUUGAGGGCGAAGGACACGACGCGCGGGGGCUUGCGGUGCAGCGGGCUGAACUCCCGCUCGUGGGUCAGCAGCCUCAGCAGCCGGGGGUCGGCGUACAUGGGCAGGUGCUCAGCGCUCUCGCCGAGGUAUCGGGCCAGCCGCCGGGCCAGCUCGCUGUCGCAGCAGGGCGCCUCCGCGAGCGCCCUCGCCCCCGCCGGCUGCAACAGGGGCGCGCUCGGUCCCUCGGUGCCCCGCUACGCCCCUGCCCUUCUUCCAGACACACCUUUAGUAGCCCCGCUGUUUCCAGUUGAAUAGGGUGUGAACAUUACCCAUUUAGGGUUAUUACGCCCCUGUCGUGGUUGCCUCUUUGUAACAACACGUGGACUUUGAGACACACGUCUAGUAGCCUCGCUGUUUCCAGUUGAAUAGGAUGUGAACAUUACCCAUUUAGGGUUGUUACGCCCCUGUCGUGGUUGCCUCUUUGUAACAACACGUGGACUUUGAGACACACGUUUAGUAGCCCAGCUGUUUCGAGUACAGGUAAUAGUUGAAUAGGAUGUGAACAUUACCAUUUAGGGCUAUUUUACUGGUUAUUUUAAGCUUGUGUGCAAAUUACGAGAUGGGGCUAGCUUCCAGCUGAUAAUAAAACUAAGCUUAAUGCCUACUAUGCAAGCCAGGAUAAAUUUUCUGUUUCAUACAGCAGCCGAGAAUAAUCUUAAGUAUCACUUGUCUAUGUUGAAAAUGUUAAUGAUAAAUUGCUAUCUGAAAACAAAAUACUAAGUACAUUUGAAACUUUUUCUUCGGAUAAGUAAUUUUCUGUGAUGCUGAUAUUUUAGAAUAAAAUGUCAAUUGCUAUGAUAAUUCUGACUUGUUUGCAAAUACAUAAUUGCAUAAGAA